Molecule: ribosomal RNA, 408 nt
Filed under: Lactobacillus gasseri
Lineage: Bacteria; Bacillati; Bacillota; Bacilli; Lactobacillales; Lactobacillaceae
Description: bacterial SSU rRNA
Rfam family: Bacterial small subunit ribosomal RNA
Source: RNAcentral
GAAAAUGAGAGUUUGAUCCUGGCUCAGGACGAACGCUGGCGGCGUGCCUAAUACAUGCAAGUCGAGCGAGCUUGCCUAGAUGAAUUUGGUGCUUGCACCAAAUGAAACUAGAUACAAGCGAGCGGCGGACGGGUGAGUAACACGUGGGUAACCUGCCCAAGAGACUGGGAUAACACCUGGAAACAGAUGCUAAUACCGGAUAACAACAGUAGACGCAUGUCUAGAGUUUAAAAGAUGGUUCUGCUAUCACUCUUGGAUGGACCUGCGGUGCAUUAGCUAGUUGGUAAGGCAACGGCUUACCAAGGCAAUGAUGCAUAGCCGAGUUGAGAGACUGAUCGGCCACAUUGGGACUGAGACACGGCCCAAACUCCUACGGGAGGCAGCAGUAGGGAAUCUUCCACAAUGGAC